This 497-nucleotide ribosomal RNA is filed under the name uncultured bacterium. RNAcentral describes it as "partial 16S ribosomal RNA". It matches the Rfam family "Bacterial small subunit ribosomal RNA", at positions 28 to 507 of the family's 1533-position model. The record is from RNAcentral.
GAUGAACGCUGGCGGCGUGCCUAAUACAUGCAAGUCGAGCGAACGGACGCGACGCUUGCUUCUCUGAUGUUAGCGGCGGACGGGUGAGUAACACGUGGAUACCCUACCUAUAAGACUGGGAUAACUUCGGGAAACCGUAGCUAAUACCGUAUAAUAUUUUGAACCGCAUGGUUCAAAAGUGAAAGACGGUCUUGCUGUCACUUAUAGAUGGAUCCGCGCUGCAUUAGCUAGUUGGUAAGGUAACGGCUUACCAAGGCAACGAUGCGUAGCCGACCUGAGAGGGUGGUCGGCCACACGGGAACUGGGACGCGGUCCAGACUCCUACGGGAGGCAGCAGUAGGGAAUCGUCGGCAAUGGGCGAAAGCCUGACGGAGCAGCGCCGCGUGAGUGAUGGAGGUCUUCGGAUCGUAAAACUCUGUUAUUAGGGAAGAACAUAUGUGUAAGUAACUGUGCACAGCUUGACGGUACCUAAUCAGAAAGCCACGGCUAACUACGUG